RNAcentral lists this long non-coding RNA (53 nucleotides) under Podarcis lilfordi (Lilford's wall lizard). The record is from RNAcentral. Lineage: Eukaryota; Metazoa; Chordata; Lepidosauria; Squamata; Lacertidae.
AAAUUAUUAAAAAAGGUUUUGUUGUUUGGUCCUGACAAAGGUAACAUAUUUUA